Molecule: ribosomal RNA, 1390 nt
Filed under: uncultured bacterium
Lineage: Bacteria
Description: bacterial SSU rRNA
Rfam family: Bacterial small subunit ribosomal RNA
Source: RNAcentral
CUGGCUCAGGAUGAACGCUAGCGACAGGCUUAACACAUGCAAGUCGAGGGGCAGCGGGGGUGAAAGCUUGCUUUCGCCUGCCGGCGACCGGCGCACGGGUGAGUAACACGUAUGCAACCUGCCCACCGCAGGGGGAUAAGCCGGAGAAAUCCGGUCUAAUACCGCGUAACAUCUUCUUGGGACAUCCCUUGAGGAUCAAAGGAAGCGAUUCCGGUCAAGGAUGGGCAUGCGUCGCAUUAGCUAGUUGGCGGGGUAAAGGCCCACCAAGGCGACGAUGCGUAGGGGUUCUGAGAGGAAGGUCCCCCACAUUGGUACUGAGACACGGUCCAGACUCCUACGGGAGGCAGCAGUGAGGAAUAUUGGUCAAUGGUCGGAAGACUGAACCAGCCAAGUAGCGUGAAGGAUGAAGGUUCUAUGGAUUGUAAACUUCUUUUAUACGGGAAUAAAACCUCCCACGUGUGGGAGCUUGUAUGUACCGUAUGAAUAAGCAUCGGCUAACUCCGUGCCAGCAGCCGCGGUAAUACGGAGGAUGCGAGCGUUAUCCGGAUUUAUUGGGUUUAAAGGGAGCGUAGACGGGAUGUUAAGUCAGUUGUGAAAGGCUGCGGCUCAACCGCAGCACUGCAGUUGAUACUGGCGUCCUUGAGUGCGGUUGAGGUAUGUGGAAUUCGUGGUGUAGCGGUGAAAUGCUUAGAUAUCACGAAGAACUCCGAUUGCGAAGGCAGCAUACUAAGCCGCUACUGACGUUGAGGCUCGAAAGUGUGGGUAUCAAACAGGAUUAGAUACCCUGGUAGUCCACACGGUAAACGAUGAAUACUCGCUGUUGGCGAUAUACAGUCAGCGGCCAAGCGAAAGCAUUAAGUAUUCCACCUGGGGAGUACGCCGGCAACGGUGAAACUCAAAGGAAUUGACGGGGGCCCGCACAAGCGGAGGAACAUGUGGUUUAAUUCGAUGAUACGCGAGGGACCUUACCCGGGCUUAAAUUGCACUGGACAGGCUCAGAGAUGGGCUCUUCUUCGGACCAGUGUGAAGGUGCUGCAUGGUUGUCGUCAGCUCGUGCCGUGAGGUGUCGGCUUAAGUGCCAUAACGAGCGCAACCCUUGCCAUUAGUUACUAACAGGUUAUGCUGAGGACUCUAGUGGGACUGCCAUCGUAAGAUGUGAGGAAGGUGGGGAUGACGUCAAAUCAGCACGGCCCUUACGUCCGGGGCUACACACGUGUUACAAUGGGAGGUACAGAAGGCUGCUACCCGGCGACGGGAUGCCAAUCCCCAAAACCUCUCUCAGUUCGGAUUGGAGUCUGCAACCCGACUCCAUGAAGCUGGAUUCGCUAGUAAUCGCGCAUCAGCCACGGCGCGGUGAAUACGUUCCCGGGCCUUGCACACACCGCCCGUA